RNAcentral lists this ribosomal RNA (274 nucleotides) under uncultured bacterium. Its description in RNAcentral is "partial 16S ribosomal RNA". It matches the Rfam family "Bacterial small subunit ribosomal RNA", at positions 523 to 796 of the family's 1533-position model. The record is from RNAcentral.
AUACGGAGGGGGCUAGCGUUGUUCGGAAUUACUGGGCGUAAAGCGUACGUAGGCGGACUGAUCAGUUGGGGGUGAAAUCCCAGGGCUUAACCCUGGAACUGCCUUCAAUACUGUCAGUCUUGAGAUUGGAAGAGGUGAGUGGAAUUCCUAGUGUAGAGGUGAAAUUCAUAGAUAUUGGGAGGAACACCAGUGGCGAAGGCGGCUCACUGGUCCAAUACUGACGCUGAGGUACGAAAGCGUGGGGAGCAAACAGGAUUAGAAACCCUAGUAGUCC